GGCGGCAUAGCGCAAGCGGACAAAAGCGCAAGAUUUUAAGAAAAUACGCAGAUAGAAGUAGCCUUUUGCUGGUUCGAAUCCAGCUGCCGCCUACA
Molecule: transfer RNA, 95 nt
Filed under: Campylobacter fetus
Lineage: Bacteria; Pseudomonadati; Campylobacterota; Epsilonproteobacteria; Campylobacterales; Campylobacteraceae
Also listed under: 1 other name
Description: tRNA-Leu
Rfam family: tRNA
About the family: Transfer RNA (tRNA) molecules are approximately 80 nucleotides in length. Their secondary structure includes four short double-helical elements and three loops (D, anti-codon, and T loops).
Source: RNAcentral